RNAcentral lists this unclassified non-coding RNA (179 nucleotides) under uncultured fungus. RNAcentral's name for it is "sequence contains ITS1". Lineage: Eukaryota; Fungi. The record is from RNAcentral.
CUGAGUUGUUAAAACUCCAAACCAUUGUGAAUUUACCUGUAGUUUGCUUUGGCAAGCGAUCCCGGGGGGAUCAGUUGCUCAGCCUUGCGGUUGGGUGCUUGCCGAAGAGCUGCUAAACUCUUGUUAUUUUUGUUGUCUGAGCACUAUAUCCAUCCGCAAGGAUAGGAGAAAAUGAAUCA